Molecule: long non-coding RNA, 421 nt
Organism: Onychostoma macrolepis
Lineage: Eukaryota; Metazoa; Chordata; Actinopteri; Cypriniformes; Cyprinidae
Exons: 4
Source: RefSeq, a predicted model, not a curated record
GUUACAGAGUAUUAUAGCUUUCUUAGUUGUCUUGGACUUUCUCAGCAUGUGGAUUUUGGCAGCAUUCCACCUUUUUGCGUUGGCUGUAAAUGGACAUGAAUGGUAUGAAGCGUUCUGGCAAGAACACUUUGGUUGGCCUGCUGGCUGAAGAUGCCCUGCUGGCUGGCAGAAAUUUGAAACCAAAUGUUUUAAGUUUUUCAGUGACUUGAAAACAUGGGCUGAGGCAGAGAAACAAUGUGUUGACCUUGGAGGAAACCUUGCGUCUGACCAUAGUCGUGCCACUCAAUUUCCUGAAGACCUUUGUGAGAAAACGUGCUAAUGGUGUCCCCCGACCCUGGAUUGGUGCUCAUGAUGCAACUCUAGCUUACUUUUCCUCUUGAAUAUCAGUUCAACCAGUGUCUGGUUAAGAGUAUUGUUACAA